UAACAUAAGGCAGCAACAUAACAAAACGUGAAAAAAAUGAAGGGGUAUGACUACUUUCGCAAGGCACUGUAACUCAUGACCGAGAGUUACUUACGUAACCCGUCAUGUCCGAGACAUUAUGUAACCGAGACGUUAUAUCCCCAUGCCACAACCUUGAACCAUCACUGGUUGGCAGGGACCUGUUCUCGGCUCCUUAGCGUAAAACCUGAAUGAGUGGAUGCACCUGUCGCAUAUUUAUGCCCAUGUGCUGAUAAAAAUGUUGUACUCUUUUAAAAUAAAUUGCAGCUAUAACACAAGCACUUGUCAAUGCGGCCAUCUGUUGUUGCAGUCCCAGUAUUUUAUUUUUAUUUUAAUUUUUUUUGUUUUGUUGGUUCUUACCAUUUCUUAAGUUUAAUUUUCUACUGUCAAACAACGGCCUGGGACACUGUUGCCACCUUGUGGAACAACUAAUUAGUGCAAAACAAAUUCUACGUGCCUGUGUGACCUGGGCUGUUACAAAAACCAGGCGGUGUGCAUACAGUAUGCACAUACUACUCUGGUGGCGAAAUCUGCAUCAAAUGCACUGUACACAGACCCUCGCUUACACAUAAAAACCGAAGUGUACUUUCGGCUUAACGUAUGGAAAAUAGUCAUCAGAAAAUCUGUAGACAUCUGAUUUGUAGCACACACCUGUUUUUUGUUGAUCUUAAAGCUGUUGUUUCAGGACACUUUAUCAGUAAACUAUGAUUUUGGUCAUACCUGAAAUACUUAACAAUGUGAAGACACACCGCUGUGAAUGUGUGUUUGAUCUCAGGGACCUCCACCGAAACCGGCCCGGCGGCAGGGAGGAUGGGCGGAGGAGAGCACAGGAACCGGAUCUGCCAAGUCCAGACGACAGUCGGCCGCUGAAGAGCUGGAGGACCGACGACUGAGGCCACAAACCCCCGAGGGCUCCGACAAUGAAAGCGGUGAGUAGAUGACUCCCGUGAGCUCUGUUUCUCUCAAACACAUUUACUCUGUUUAACCAGACAGCAGCUCCGCAGCUUAUGAAAUUCAGACAGAAUUCAAGCUAAUGGCGGAUCAUUUAUUGUAUGACGUUACAGAAUGGUGCUGGAUAAAGCAGCUUAUUCAGAGAGAGUCCAGCUGCUGUGAUUGAUAAAGUCUACACAUUCAUAAACGCUAUUUCAUAUAUAUUUCAGAUACAAAAACACUUACAGUACAAUACACUAGGCUUAAAAGACCUGAUAGCGUGAGGCUCAGAAACAUGUGAUCUUCAGGACAUAUGCUGCUUUCACUUACAGUCUCAAAUAAUAACAAAAAUAAAUAAAAAAUACAAUACUUUUCUUUUUUUUUUUUUUUUUAAUAAAUCAAGAGAUGUACUGGAUACAGUUGCCAGAAUAUUCAUUAAAUGACAUUCAAAAGCAUCAGUAUACAUAUACAAACCAUUAUAUUUAUACUGAUUGAGCAUCAAAAAAAAAAAACUAAAACUUGCUAAAAAAAACUUAA
Long non-coding RNA from Cyprinus carpio (common carp), 1485 nucleotides. RefSeq lists it as uncharacterized. NCBI's taxonomy places the organism in Eukaryota, Metazoa, Chordata, Actinopteri, Cypriniformes, Cyprinidae. The record is from RefSeq and is a predicted model, not a curated record. The transcript is spliced from 3 exons.